RNAcentral lists this ribosomal RNA (1546 nucleotides) under metagenome. RNAcentral describes it as "bacterial SSU rRNA". It matches the Rfam family "Bacterial small subunit ribosomal RNA". The record is from RNAcentral.
AGAGCAUGAUACUGGCUCAGAACGAACGCUGGCAGCGUGCCUUAUACAUGCAAGUCGAGCGAGAAAACCGGCUUCGGUCGGUGAGUAAAGCGGCAAAAGGGUGAGUAACGCAUGGGUAACCUGCCUCUCGGAGCGGAAUAACAGCGGCCCGCAAGGGCCUUCAGCGAAAGUGCUGCUAAUACCGCAUGUUGAUACUUGAGCACUUGCUUAAUCGUAAGUGGAGUCGCUCUGGUGUUGAAAUGGUGCUGCCUUAGGGCAGUUUCCGCCGGGAGGGGGGCCUGUGUCCUAUUAGCUUUGGUGGGGUAACGGCCCACCAAGGCUUUGAUGGGUAGCCGGCGUGAGAGCGCGACCGGCCACACUGGGACUGAGACACUGCCCAGAGCCCCACGGGGCGCAGCAGUAGGGAAUAUUCCACAAUGGGCGAAAGCCUGAUGGAGCGACGCUGCGUGGAGGAAGAAGGCCCUCGGGUUGUAAACUCCUGUUAGGGGUUAUGAAACCGCUUCGGCGGCUGACAAAGGCCCCAAAGAAAGCCAUGGCUAACUCCGUGCCAGCAGCCGCGGUAAUUCGGAGAUGGCGAGCGUUGUUCGGAUUCACUGGGCGUAAAGCGCGCGUAGGCGGCGCGGCAAGUUGGAGGUGAAAUCCUGAGGCUCAACCUCAGAACUGCCCCCCAUACUGCUGUGCUAGAGGACGGCAGGGGAGAGUGGAACUCGUGGUGGAGCGGUGAAAUGCGUAGAUAUCACGAGGAACGCCGGCGGCGAAAGCGGCUCUCUGGGUCGUUCCUGACGCUGAGGUGCGAAAGCCAGGGGAGCGAACGGGAUUAGAUACCCCGGUAGUCCUGGCCGUAAACGAUGGGCACUUGGCAGUAGGGGACCAACCUUUAUUGCCGGAGCUAACGCGUUAAGUGCCCCGCCUGGGUAGUACGGCCGCAAGGCUAAAACUCAAAGUAAUUGACGGGGGCUCGCACAAGCGGUGGAGCAUGUUCCUUAAUUCGAGACAACGCGAGGAACCUUACCAGGGCUUGACAUGCUAGUGGUACAAACCUGAAAGGGGGAGGACCGGGUUUUCCCGGAGCUAGCACAGGUGUUGCAUGGCUGUCGUCCGUUCGUAUCGUGAGAUGUUGGGUUAAGUCCCGCAACGAGCGAAACCCUUGUCCUUAGUUGCUAACGCGUCAUGGCGAGGACUCUAAGGAGACUGCCGGUGUCAAACCGGAGGAAGGUGGGGAUGACGUCAAGUCAUCAUGGCCCUUACGCCCUGGGCGGGAAACAUGCUACAAUGGCCGGUACAACGGGAUGCCAAGGCGCAAGCCGGAGCGAAGCCCUAAAAGCCGGCCCCAGUUCGGAUCGGGGGCUGCAACCCGCCCCCGUGAAGCCGGAAUCGCUAGUAAUCGCGGAUCAGCCACGCCGCGGUGAAUAUGUGCCCGAGCCUUGUACACACCGCCCGUCAAGCCACGGGAGCUGGGAGCGCGCGAAGUCAUGGGUCUAACCUGCUUCGGCAGGAGGGCACUGUGCCCACCGUGAGCCCAGCGACUGGGACUAAGUCGUAACAA